Molecule: long non-coding RNA, 404 nt
Filed under: Brassica napus (rape)
Lineage: Eukaryota; Viridiplantae; Streptophyta; Magnoliopsida; Brassicales; Brassicaceae
Description: long non-coding RNA (BNAP_LNC019066)
Source: RNAcentral
UGAACUCAGCGGCCAAAAAGGAGAUACGACCACCACAUACGCUAAUUCCGUUUUCAAACCAUACCACUCUAGACAAACCAAACACAACAAACGACCAUACCAACACACCAUAAACCAAACUGAACACACAAGACACUACAAUCUAGAGCAAGGGCCACAAACAUUAGAGCUUCAGAACUGUCAGACUUAAUUGCUUCGCCGGCGCCAGACUCAACCCACACGCCCUAAGCCACCACAAAGACCAUUACUCUACCUGAUUCAAGCGAAUCUCCAACUCGGGUCAAGCCGCAAAAGAUCUGAAACUCCAAAUCUGCAGAGACCUCCACACAAAUCAACCACACAGACUGUUUCCACCUGCCCCACCGCUGCUUCUCGACGAGAUUUCGCAGUGACACAAGCUUUUG